This 253-nucleotide ribosomal RNA is filed under the name uncultured bacterium. Its description in RNAcentral is "partial 16S ribosomal RNA". It matches the Rfam family "Bacterial small subunit ribosomal RNA", at positions 524 to 776 of the family's 1533-position model. The record is from RNAcentral.
UACGUAGGGGGCAAGCGUUGUCCGGAAUCAUUGGGCGUAAAGCGCGUGUAGGCGGCCAGGUAAGUCCGUUCUGAAAGCCCGGGGCUCAACCCCGGGAGGCGGAUGGAUACUGCUUGGCUCGAGUCCGGAAGAGGCGAGUGGAAUUCCCGGUGUAGCGGUGAAAUGCGCAGAUAUCGGGAGGAACACCAAUGGCGAAGGCAGCUCGCUGGGACGGUACUGACGCUGAGGCGCGAAAGCGUGGGGAGCAAACAGG